RNAcentral lists this ribosomal RNA (433 nucleotides) under uncultured bacterium. Its description in RNAcentral is "partial 16S ribosomal RNA". It matches the Rfam family "Bacterial small subunit ribosomal RNA", at positions 29 to 507 of the family's 1533-position model. The record is from RNAcentral.
AACGAACGCUGGCGGCAUGCCUAACACAUGCGAGUCGAACGAGACCUGCGGGUCUAGUGGCGCACGGGUGCGUAACGCGUGGGAACCUGCCCUUAGGUUCGGAAUAACUCCCCGAAAGGGGUGCUAAUACCGGAUAAUGUCUUCGGACCAAAGAUUUAUCGCCUUUGGAUGGGCCCGCGUUGGAUUAGCUAGUUGGUAGGGUAAAAGCCUACCAAGGCGACGAUCCAUAGCUGGUCUGAGAGGAUGAUCAGCCACACUGGGACUGAGACACGGCCCAGACUCCUACGGGAGGCAGCAGUGGGGAAUAUUGGACAAUGGGCGAAAGCCUGAUCCAGCAAUGCCGCGUGAGUGAUGAAGGCCUUAGGGUUGUAAAGCUCUUUUACCCGGGAUGAUAAUGACAGUACCGGGAGAAUAAGCUCCGGCUAACUCCGUG